Molecule: transfer RNA, 101 nt
Filed under: Streptomyces roseiscleroticus
Lineage: Bacteria; Bacillati; Actinomycetota; Actinomycetes; Kitasatosporales; Streptomycetaceae
Also listed under: 1 other name
Description: tRNA-Arg
Source: RNAcentral
CGCCCUCGUCGCGCAGGUCCUCCGGUACGGGCCGCCCCUCGGCGGCGGCGCGGGCGGCCCGCUCGCGGCGCUCCCGUCGCUCCGCCCGGCGCGGGACGCCC